RNAcentral lists this transfer RNA (73 nucleotides) under Daphnia pulex (common water flea). It matches the Rfam family "tRNA". From Rfam's summary of the family: Transfer RNA (tRNA) molecules are approximately 80 nucleotides in length. Their secondary structure includes four short double-helical elements and three loops (D, anti-codon, and T loops). Lineage: Eukaryota; Metazoa; Arthropoda; Branchiopoda; Diplostraca; Daphniidae. The record is from Rfam by way of RNAcentral.
GCCGAAAUAGCUCAAUUGGGAGAGCGUUACACUGAAGAUCUAAAGGUCCCUGGUUCGAUCCCGGGUUUCGGCA